AGUAAUGCUUGGGAAUCUGGCUUAUGGAGGGGGAUAACGACGGGAAACUGUCGCUAAUACCGCGUAUUAUCGGAAGAUGAAAGUGCGGGACUGAGAGGCCGCAUGCCAUAGGAUGAGCCCAAGUGGGAUUAGGUAGUUGGUGGGGUAAAGGCCUACCAAGCCUGCGAUCUCUAGCUGGUCUGAGAGGAUGACCAGCCACACUGGAACUGAGACACGGUCUAG
Molecule: ribosomal RNA, 222 nt
Filed under: uncultured bacterium
Lineage: Bacteria
Description: partial 16S ribosomal RNA
Rfam family: Bacterial small subunit ribosomal RNA
Source: RNAcentral